AGAGAGUUGCUCGAGCGGUUGAAGAGGCACGCCUGGAAAGUGUGUAAGGUGUCAAAGCCUUCGAGGGUUCGAAUCCCUCACUCUCUG
RNAcentral lists this transfer RNA (87 nucleotides) under Ignavibacteria bacterium. Its description in RNAcentral is "tRNA-Ser". It matches the Rfam family "tRNA". From Rfam's summary of the family: Transfer RNA (tRNA) molecules are approximately 80 nucleotides in length. Their secondary structure includes four short double-helical elements and three loops (D, anti-codon, and T loops). Lineage: Bacteria; Pseudomonadati; Ignavibacteriota; Ignavibacteria. The record is from RNAcentral.